ACGGGAGCAAGGGCACACAUCAACAGCACGGAUAAUCCAAUCCUGAUGAACGCCAUAUUUUCUCUCUGGCCGUUGGCGUACUUACUCACUGAACUAAGUGGCACGUGUUACAACUGCGGUAAUCCGCGUAAACUGAGAUCUAAUCACGCAAUGAGUGCAAUGAGACGCAACAUUCGCACGAGUGACGGGUAGCAAAAUCGUAACCUUUUAUCAGUACGCACCGCAGAAAACAAUGCAAACCGAUUAAGAUUUGAUUCAAUCGAUACUAUACCACCAAUCUUUCCGUGUUGAUUACGACCGUCAAACAAACGUAGCAACGCAAUCUUUGACCGCCAAAAAACAAACGCAAUCUAUUGAUGUAGGGGUUUUGUGUUUAUUCUACUCCUGAUAUAGUAUCAAUAAUCGUACUCUAAUGAUCUUGAUCCCGGGUACUUGCGCAAAGGGGCUACGGAAUCCAGGAUACGGGAAAACAAUAACCCCGCGUGAUAU
This is a long non-coding RNA of Anopheles merus, 489 nucleotides long. RefSeq lists it as uncharacterized. The record is from RefSeq and is a predicted model, not a curated record. NCBI's taxonomy places the organism in Eukaryota, Metazoa, Arthropoda, Insecta, Diptera, Culicidae. The transcript is spliced from 2 exons.